This 1125-nucleotide long non-coding RNA is filed under the name Brassica napus (rape). Its description in RNAcentral is "long non-coding RNA (BNAP_LNC023158)". Lineage: Eukaryota; Viridiplantae; Streptophyta; Magnoliopsida; Brassicales; Brassicaceae. The record is from RNAcentral.
UCAACUUCCUGGCGAUUCUCCACCACUUUAUGUAUCCAAAUCAAGCUUCUUACAAAAUGAUUCAUCCUGGUUUUAUUGGAACGACGAAGAAGCUGUGCUAUUCCCAAACUGGAAAACUGGAAUCACCUGAUUUGAAAGUGGGAUAACUUCUUCAUCCCAACUCCUAUGAGAUUUAUUCAACUUCCUGGUGAUUCUCCACCACUUUAUGUAUCCAGAUCAAGCUUCUCACAAAGUGAUUCAUCCUGGUUUGAUUGGAACGACGAAGAAGCUGUGCUAUUCCCAAACUGGGAAACUGGAAUCACCUGAUUUGAAAGUGGGAUAACUUCUUCAUCCCAACUCGUAUGAGAUUUAUUCAACUUCCUGGUGAUUCUCCACCACUUUAUGUAUCCAAAUCAAGCUUCUUACAAAAUGAUUCAUCCUGGUUUGAUUGGAACGACGAAGAAGCUGUGCUAUUCCCGAACUGUGAAACUGGAAUCACCUAAUUUGAAAGUGGGAUUACUUCUUCUUGCCAACUCCUAUGAGAUUUAUUCAACUUCCUGGUGAUUCUCCACCAGUUAAUAUAUCCAAAUCAAGCUUCUUACAAAAUGAUUCAUCCUGGUUUGAUUGGAACGACGAAGAAGCUGUGCUAUUCCCAAACUGGGAAACUGGAAUCACCUGAUUUGAAAGUGGGAUAACUUCUUCAUCCCAACUCCUAUGAGAUUUAUUCAACUUCCUGGUGAUUCUUCACCACUUUAUGUAUCCAAAUCAAGCUUCUCACAAAGAGAUUCAUCCUGGUUUGAUUGGAACGACGAAGAAGCUUUGCUAUUCCCAAACUGGGAAACUGGAAUCACCUGAUUUGAAAGUGGGAUAACUUCUUCAUCCCAACUCCUAUGAGAUUUAUUCAACCUCCUGGUGAUUCUCCACCACUUUAUAUAUCCAGAUCAAGCUUCUUACAAAGUGAUUCAUCCUGGUUUGAUUGGAACGACGAAGAAGCUGUGCUAUUCCCAAACUGGGAAACUGGAAUCACCUUAUUUGAAAGUGGGAUAACUUCUUCAUCCCAACUCCUAUGAGAUUUAUUCAACUUCCUGGUGAUUUUACACCACUUUAUGUAUCCAAAUCAAGCUUCUCACAAAGUGAUUCAUCCUG